AUUGAACGCUGGCGGCAUGCCUUACACAUGCAAGUCGAACGGUAACAGGUUAAGCUGACGAGUGGCGAACGGGUGAGUAAUGUAUCGGAACGUGCCCAGUUGUGGGGGAUAACUACUUGAAAGAGUGGCUAAUACCGCAAGCGACCUGAGGGUGAAAGCGGGGGAUCGCAAGACCUCGCGCAAUUGGAGCGGCCGAUAUCAGAUUAGGUAGUUGGUGGGGUAAAGGCCCCCCCAGCCAACGAUCUGUAGCUGGUUUGAGAGGACGACCAGCCCCCCUGGGACUGAGACCCGGCCCAGACUCCUUCGGGAGGCAGCAGUGGGGAAUUUUGGACAAUGGGCGCAAGCCUGAUCCAGCCAUGCCGCGUGCGGGAAGAAGGCCUUCGGGUUGUAAACCGCUUUUGUCAGGGAAGAAAUUUUUUGGGCUAAUACCCUGGGAGGAUGACGGUACAUGGAGAAUAAGCCCCGGCUAACUACGUG
This 477-nucleotide ribosomal RNA is filed under the name uncultured bacterium. Its description in RNAcentral is "bacterial SSU rRNA". It matches the Rfam family "Bacterial small subunit ribosomal RNA", at positions 30 to 507 of the family's 1533-position model. The record is from RNAcentral.